CUACGGGGGGCUGCAGUGGGGAAUAUUGGACAAUGGGGGAAACCCUGAUCCAGCAAUGCCGCGUGUGUGAAGAGGGCCUGCGGGUUGUAAAGCACUUUCGGUUGGGAGGACUGCUUCUAGCACUAAUAUUGUUGGAAGUUGACGUUACCUUCAGAAGAAGCACCGGCUAACUCCGUGCCAGCAGCCGGCGGUAAUACGGAGGGUGCAAGCGUUAAUCGGAAUUACUGGGCGUAAAGCGCGCGUAGGCGGCUAGAUCAGUCGGGUGUGAAAGCCCCGGGCUUAACCUGGGGACUGCAUCCGAUACUGUCUAGCUUGAGUACAGGAGAGGAGGGUGGAAUUCCACAUGUAGCGGUGAAAGGCGUAGAUAUGUGGAGGAACACCAAUGGCGAAGGCAGCUCUCUGGCCUGAUACUGACGCUGAGGUGCGAAAGCGUGGGGAGCAAACAGGAUUAGAUACCCUCGUAGUC
This 466-nucleotide ribosomal RNA is filed under the name uncultured bacterium. RNAcentral's name for it is "partial 16S ribosomal RNA". It matches the Rfam family "Bacterial small subunit ribosomal RNA", at positions 339 to 795 of the family's 1533-position model. The record is from RNAcentral.